RNAcentral lists this ribosomal RNA (426 nucleotides) under uncultured bacterium. RNAcentral describes it as "partial 16S ribosomal RNA". It matches the Rfam family "Bacterial small subunit ribosomal RNA", at positions 354 to 796 of the family's 1533-position model. The record is from RNAcentral.
GUCGAGAAUUUUGGGCAAUGGACGAAAGUCUGACCCAGCAAUGCCGCGUGCGGGAUGAAGGUCUUCGGAUUGUAAACCGCUGUCGAGGGGGACGAAAUAUGACGGUACCCCUGGAGGAAGCCACGGCUAACUACGUGCCAGCAGCCGCGGUAAUACGUAGGUGGCGAGCGUUGUUCGGAUUUAUUGGGCGUAAAGGGUCCGCAGGGGGUUGAUUAAGUCUGACGUGAAAUCUCUUAGCUCAACUCAGAAAUUGCGUUGGAGACUGGUUGACUAGAGUGUUGGAGAGGUAAUUGGAAUUCCAGGUGUAGCGGUGGAAUGCGUAGAUAUCUGGAAGAACAUCGAAAGCGAAGGCAGAUUACUGGACAACAACUGACCCUCAGGGACGAAAGCAUGGGGAGCAAACAGGAUUAGAACCCCCGGUAGUCC